AUGGCAAAAGCACCCAAGGACACGCUUCAACUAGCCUGCAUCCAGAUAGCCGUAGCCUUGCUCUUGCUUACUCAAGCCAAGAGCACCACAGAGGACACAUCUGCCCUGCGUCCAAAUGAUACGGUCACCAGCUGUAUUGCCGGUGCGAGGUCUGCCCUUCUUGCCUUCAGGGCAGGUCUAUCAGACCCUGCCAACCUCCUUCCAUCAUGGAAGGGUGGUGAUUGCUGCCGAUGGAAGGGUGUCUACUGCAGCAACAGAACCGGCCAUGUUGUCAGGCUCGAUCUCCGAGGCCCAGGUUACAGAAGCGGCAAUGAGAGCAGGCAGGUGCUAGCAGGCAACAUAAGCUCCUCGUUGCUUGGUUUACAGCAUUUACAGUAUCUUGACCUCAGCUACAACGGGUUUGACAAGAUACAAAUACCGGAGUUUAUCGGUUCUCUCCAUCAGCUGAGAUAUCUUGACCUAUCAUGGUCACCGUUCAUUGGAAGGAUACCACCGCAGCUGGGUAAUCUCUCCAACUUACAGUACUUAAAUCUUGGGUACAACUUAUAUGGCACAUAUUCCAUGGAUAUCACCUGGUUAUCACAGUUAACUUCCGUUGAGCACCUGGAUAUGACUGGGGUGAACCUCAGUACAAUUGUUCAUUGGCUUCCGGUGAUGAACAUGCUUCCAACUCUGAAAUUUCUUUGUCUUAGAGCUUGCCAGCUCAGUGAUAGCCCUGAUUCUCUUCAGCUCUCAAACCUAACAUCUCUUGAAACACUCGACAUCUCGGGCAACGACUUCCAUAAGCGUUGCACGCCCAACUGGUUUUGGGAUUUAACUAGCCUCAAGCAUCUACAUAUCGCUGAAAAUGGUUUCUAUGGCCCUUUUCCGGACGACAUCGGAAAUAUGACCUCGAUUGUGGAGCUUGAUUUAUCAGACAAUAACCUUGUGGGCAUGAUACCAUCCAACAUGAAGAACCUAUGUAAUUUGGAGAGAUUAGAUUUUUCUAUGAACAACAUCAACGGGAGUAUAGCAGAGUUAUUGCAUCGAUUACCAAACUGUUCACAGAAUAAACUACAGGACUUGUCUCUAUCGGACAACAAUCUGACUGGAAGCCUACCAACUACACUAGUAGAGCCCUUGAGAAACCUGAGCUGGCUGAAUCUUGAUGGGAACAAACUCACUGGUCAUGUCCCGGUGUGGAUAGGAGAGCUCACACAGCUAACAAAUCUGGAGCUUAGUUCUAACAACCUGGACGGGGUCAUACAUGAAGGUCAUUUAUCAGGUCUAGGUAUGUUGGAGGAAUUGACAUUAUCAGACAACUCCAUAGCCAUCACUGUGAGCCCAACUUGGGUUCCUCCUUUCAGUCUAGGAACAAUUGAACUUCGGUCCUGUCAGCUAGGGCCUAAAUUCCCCAUGUGGCUUAGAAGGCAAACACACUUAUGGAAUCUUGAUAUAUCAAACACAAGCAUAAAUGACAUGGUACCAGGUUGGUUUUGGAUAGCAGCUUCCUCAGUAGAGUAUCUAAAUAUUCGAAAUAAUCAGAUUACAGGAUUCCUACCAUCAUCAAUGGAAUUUAUGAGAGCAGAAGUCAUGGAUUUCAGUUCUAACCAGCUUGGUGGUCCAAUACCUAAGCUUCCCAUCACUCUAAUCGACCUGGAUCUCAGUCGGAACAAUCUAGUUGGGCCACUACCAUUAGACUUUGGAGCACCAGGGCUUGAAAAACUAUUUCUAUAUAACAACAUGAUCUCUGGGGCCAUUCCAUCUUCUUUGUGCAAGUUGCGAUCAUUGCGGUCAUUAGAUCUAUCAAGAAAUAACCUCAAUGGAUCAAUUGCUGAUUGCCCAGUCAAUGAGUCCAGCUCAAACAUGACAGAUCUGAGCAUUGUUAAUCUAAGCUUCAGAAACAACAACCUCUCUGGUGAAUUUCCUUCACUUCUGCAGAAAUGCCCACAACUCAUCUUUCUUGAUCUCGGACUUAAUCAAUUCUCCGGGGCUUUACCAACAUGGAUUGGAGAGAAGCUACUGUCUUUGUCAUUCUUGCGACUGAGAUCCAAUAUGUUUUAUGGGAACAUUCCAGUCCAGCUUACGAAGCUUGUUAAUCUACAAUAUUUGGACCUUGCGUACAAUAAUAUAUCAGGGAGCAUACCGAGAUCUAUUAUUAAUUGGACAGGCAUGACACAAACAAGAGACAACACUGAUGAUCUUCAGAAUGCAUUCACUUCUGGAGUAAGUUUUGAUGACAAUGAACUGGUUGACUACAGUGCGAAUUUGACUGUACUCACGAAAGGCCAAGAGAGAUUAUAUACAGGAGAAAUCAUAUAUAUGGUGAAUCUUGAUUUAUCUUGUAAUAGUCUUACCGGAGUGAUACCCGCAGAAAUCAGCAGUCUCGUUGCGUUGAAGAGCCUGAACUUAUCAUGGAACAAUUUCAAUGGAAAAAUCCCUGAGAAUAUUGGUGCCUUGAUGCAAGUGGAGUCACUUGACCUGUCACACAAUGAGUUGUCUGGUGAAAUCCCUUCAAGCUUAUCGGUUCUCACAUCAUUGAGUCGCCUGAACCUGUCCUACAACAAUCUGGGAGGGAAGAUACCAACUGGAAAUCAGCUGCAAACACUUGAAGACCAGGCAUCUAUUUAUAUUGGCAACCCGGGUCUCUGCGGCCCUCCUCUCUUGCGGAAUUGCCCGCAGCCUGAGCCAAUUCCAGGAGAAAACCAUGGAGAUGCAAGCGAUGACUUGGUUUCCUUUCUCCUCGCCAUGAGCUCUGGAUUUGUAAUGGGUCUCUGGGUGGUCUUCUGUACCUUCUUGUUCAAGAGGAGAUGGAGAGCUGUUUGGUACUCGCUCUGUGACAGCCUGUAUGAUUGGGUUUAUGUGCAUGUGGCUAUUACCUGGACUUCCUUGAGAGGUAAAAUCAAUGGGUAG
RNAcentral lists this ribosomal RNA (2892 nucleotides) under Triticum aestivum (bread wheat). Its description in RNAcentral is "partial small subunit ribosomal RNA". The record is from RNAcentral. Lineage: Eukaryota; Viridiplantae; Streptophyta; Magnoliopsida; Poales; Poaceae.